This 500-nucleotide ribosomal RNA is filed under the name uncultured bacterium. RNAcentral's name for it is "partial 16S ribosomal RNA". It matches the Rfam family "Bacterial small subunit ribosomal RNA", at positions 29 to 523 of the family's 1533-position model. The record is from RNAcentral.
AUUGAACGCUGGCGGCAUGCCUUACACAUGCAAGUCGAACGGCAGCACGGGAGCAAUCCUGGUGGCGAGUGGCGAACGGGUGAGUAAUAUAUCGGAACGUGCCCAGUAGUGGGGGAUAGCCCGGCGAAAGCCGGAUUAAUACCGCAUACGACCUGAGGGUGAAAGCGGGGGAUCGCAAGACCUCGCGCUAUUGGAGCGGCCGAUAUCAGAUUAGCUUGUUGGUGGGGUAAAAGCCUACCAAGGCGACGAUCUGUAGCUGGUCUGAGAGGACGAACAGCCACACUGGGACUGAGACACGGCCCAGACUCCUACGGGAGGCAGCAGUGGGGAAUUUUGGACAAUGGGCGCAAGCCUGAUCCAGCCAUGCCGCGUGCGGGAAGAAGGCCUUCGGGUUGUAAACCGCUUUUGUCAGGGAAGAAACGGCUCUUGAUAAUACCGAGAGCUAAUGACGGUACCUGAAGGAUAAGCACCGGCUAACUACGUGCCAGCAGCCGCAGUAA